Molecule: ribosomal RNA, 469 nt
Filed under: uncultured bacterium
Lineage: Bacteria
Description: partial 16S ribosomal RNA
Rfam family: Bacterial small subunit ribosomal RNA
Source: RNAcentral
GACGAACGCUGGCGGCGUGCUUAACACAUGCAAGUCGAACGGAAAGGCCCUGCUUUUGUGGGGUGCUCGAGUGGCGAACGGGUGAGUAACACGUGAGUAACCUGCCCUUGACUUUGGGAUAACUUCAGGAAACUGGGGCUAAUACCGGAUAGGAGCUCCUGCUGCAUGGUGGGGGUUGGAAAGUUUCGGCGGUUGGGGAUGGACUCGCGGCUUAUCAGCUUGUUGGUGGGGGAGUGGCUUACCAAGGCUUUGACGGGUAGCCGGCCUGAGAGGGUGACCGGGAACAGUGGGACUGGGACUCGGCCCAGACUCCUACGGGUGGCAGAGGUGGGGGAGAUUGCACAAGGGGCGGGAGCCCGAUGCAGCAACGCCGCGGGCGGGAGGACGGCCUUCGGGUUGUAAACCGCUUUCGCCUGUGACGAAGCGGGAGUGACGGUAAUGGGUAAAGAAGCACCGGCUAACCACGUGC